AGGCCGGAUAAUGUUCCUGAAGGUGCUUAUGUUGAAUAGGUGAUUGAGCUUCUUGGUUUUGAAAUGCAAAAGGAUUGGACUGGUAUGGAUUUUAGAGCUAUUAUGAAUGAUGUUGAGAACACGAAAAGCACGGGUAACAGACUAUUCAAAGAAGGAAAAUUUGCUCUUGCCAAAGCCAAGUAUGAU
Long non-coding RNA from Lactuca sativa (garden lettuce), 186 nucleotides. RefSeq lists it as uncharacterized. NCBI's taxonomy places the organism in Eukaryota, Viridiplantae, Streptophyta, Magnoliopsida, Asterales, Asteraceae. The record is from RefSeq and is a predicted model, not a curated record.